This 251-nucleotide long non-coding RNA is filed under the name Ananas comosus (pineapple). Its description in RNAcentral is "long non-coding RNA (ACOM_LNC025033)". Lineage: Eukaryota; Viridiplantae; Streptophyta; Magnoliopsida; Poales; Bromeliaceae. The record is from RNAcentral.
AGAGGAGGAAAGGCGAGGAGGGUUGAAUUAAUAUUUUUUUUUUGAGAAAAAGAUAGCACGCUACCUGCUUCAUUCAUUGAAUAAAUAAACUAGACUAUAAGAGUGAGGCAAUCUGGACUCCUUGAAAAAAAAAAAGAAAUGAAAAAGUGAUAAGCUCAGAGUUCAAAAUGAGAGAAGUGAAUCCCAUUCGUUCACCAGCAGAAAAAAAGGAGUGAAUUAAUGUUAAAUUGCUAAAAUGAUGGAGUAUGUUA